This 623-nucleotide ribosomal RNA is filed under the name Bacillus sp. FJAT-4537. RNAcentral's name for it is "bacterial SSU rRNA". It matches the Rfam family "Bacterial small subunit ribosomal RNA", at positions 67 to 672 of the family's 1533-position model. The record is from RNAcentral. Lineage: Bacteria; Bacillati; Bacillota; Bacilli; Caryophanales; Bacillaceae.
CGGACAGAUGGGAGCUUGCUCCCUGAUGUUAGCGGCGGACGGGUGAGUAACACGUGGGUAACCUGCCUGUAAGACUGGGAUAACUCCGGGAAACCGGGGCUAAUACCGGAUGCUUGUUUGAACCGCAUGGUUCAAACAUAAAAGGUGGCUUCGGCUACCACUUACAGAUGGACCCGCGGCGCAUUAGCUAGUUGGUGAGGUAACGGCUCACCAAGGCAACGAUGCGUAGCCGACCUGAGAGGGUGAUCGGCCACACUGGGACUGAGACACGGCCCAGACUCCUACGGGAGGCAGCAGUAGGGAAUCUUCCGCAAUGGACGAAAGUCUGACGGAGCAACGCCGCGUGAGUGAUGAAGGUUUUCGGAUCGUAAAGCUCUGUUGUUAGGGAAGAACAAGUACCGUUCGAAUAGGGCGGUACCUUGACGGUACCUAACCAGAAAGCCACGGCUAACUACGUGCCAGCAGCCGCGGUAAUACGUAGGUGGCAAGCGUUGUCCGGAAUUAUUGGGCGUAAAGGGCUCGCAGGCGGUUCCUUAAGUCUGAUGUGAAAGCCCCCGGCUCAACCGGGGAGGGUCAUUGGAAACUGGGGAACUUGAGUGCAGAAGAGGAGAGUGGAAUUCCAC